RNAcentral lists this long non-coding RNA (752 nucleotides) under Mus musculus (house mouse). RNAcentral's name for it is "predicted gene, 41541". The record is from RNAcentral. Lineage: Eukaryota; Metazoa; Chordata; Mammalia; Rodentia; Muridae.
AGCUCCCUCCCAUUCUGUGUCAAGCUGCCUUCCACACAGCUCCAGAUGUCAGGCUGAACAGUCUCCCCUCAUGCUUGCUGCCAGCCUAGACCAGAAGUGAGAAGUGGACCUGCUAGGAGGCUGUGCACCCAAUGUUUGACACACACAGUUUCCAAGCUGCCUUUCCAGAUUAGAACCCAGACAUGUGAGCCACUGGACGGACACAACACCCCAGUACAGGGGAAUGCCAGGGCCAAGAAGCGGGAGUGGAAACCUGGGAAUAGUUCUACCUCAAGACCCAGCUAUACCACUCCUUGGCAUAUACCCAAAAGAUGUUGCUCCAACAUCCCACAAGGACACUUGCUCAACUAUGUUCAUAGCAGCUUUAUUCAUAAUAACCAGAAGCUGGAGAAAACCUAGAUGUCCUUCAACUGAAGAAUAGAUAAUGAAAAUGUGGUACAUCUCCACAAUGGAAUACUAUUCUGCUAUGAAAAACAAGAACAUCAUGAAUUUUGCAGACAAAUGGAUGGAACUUGAGAAUAUCACCCUGAGUACAGUGACCCAGUCCCAAAAUGACAUGUAUGAAACUCAGAGGAGCAAGAAAACUAUUCUCACCUACUGAAACCAGACUCAUCUAACUCUGCAACAUCCAAUCUCUGUACGGAGACCUUUGAGCAGGGACCAGGCAUUGACCCUCCUCCUGGGAGAAGUCCACAGUUAUACCAUUGAUUGUCAACAAAUCACAAAAUAAAAGACAACAGCUUGAAAAUUCC